This is an RNA transcript of Octodon degus (degu), 2211 nucleotides long. It is a transcript of the gene named solute carrier family 22 member 12, with no coding region annotated. Lineage: Eukaryota; Metazoa; Chordata; Mammalia; Rodentia; Octodontidae. The transcript has 11 exons. The record is from RefSeq and is a predicted model, not a curated record.
CCUCACCCCAAAUUCACUUGUUGCUGAAGGUUGGCAUAGUCGCAACUAAGAGAGGGUCACAGCACAGGCCCAGGUGGCAGCCGGAGCUGGUGGACCCUGCCAUGCUUUCAGCAGCCCAGCUGGGGAAGCUGGUGUGGGCACCACCAUAGGAGACACAGGUGUGCCACACUGACCCUGUGGCCUGAGCUGACCUCUGUGGAGUGGCCCUUCUUCAGCCCCCAGCGGGCCCCAUGGGAUUUCCUGAGCUCCUGGACCAAGUUGGAGGCCUGGGCAGGUUCCAGUUUCUCCAGGUGGUGGCCCUGGUGGUCCCCAUCAUGUAUGUCACCACCCAGAACAUGCUGGAAAACUUUUCCGCUGCUGUGCCCAGCCACCGCUGUUGGGUGCCCCUCUUGGACAACAGCACCACCCAAGCCAGUGUCCCUGGGACCUUGGACCCCCAGGCCCUCCUGGCUGUGUCCAUCCCUCUGGGUCCCAACCAGCAGCCCCACCCAUGCCGCCGCUUCCACCAUCCACAGUGGCAGAUUCUGGACUCCAAUGCCACAGCCACCAACUGGAGCGAGGCUGCCACAGAGCCAUGCCUGGAUGGCUGGGUUUAUGACCACAGCACCUUCACUGCCACCGUGGUGACCAAGUGGGACCUGGUGUGUGACUCUCAGGCCCUGAGGCCCAUGGCCCAGUCCAUCUUCCUGGCCGGGAUCCUGGUGGGUGCUGCAGUGUGUGGCUGCACCUCGGACAGGUUUGGGCGCAAGGUGGUGCUGAGCUGGAGCUACCUUCUGAUAGCCGUGUCGGGCACCGCAGCCGCCUUCACCCCUAACUUCCCGCUCUACUGCCUGUUCCGCUUCCUAGCAGCCUUCGCGGUGGCGGGUGUCAUGAUGAGCACAACCAGUCUCUUGAUGGAGUGGACACCAGCGCAGGCCAGCAUCUUGAUGAUGACCUUGAACUCUCUGGGCUUCAGCUUUGGCCAAAUGCUGAUGGCUGCAGUGGCCUAUGGCUUGCGUCACUGGACGCUGCUGCAGCUGGCCGUCUCUGCCCCUUUCUUCCUCUGCUUUGCCUACUCGUGGUGGCUGCCAGAGUCGGCACGGUGGCUGCUAUCCAUGGGCAAGCUGGAUCUCGGCCUGCAGGAGCUGCAGAAGGUGGCCUCCAUCAACCGGAAGACAGCAGGGGACACCCUGACCAGGGAGGCAUUGCUCUUAGCCAUGCAGGAGGAGUUGAGUGGGGCUCAGGCUUCUGCCAGCCUGGGUGCCCUGCUACACGAACCUAGCCUGCGCCUCCGGACCUGGAUCUCCAUGCUAUGUUGGUUUGCCUUUGGCUUCACCUUCUAUGGUCUGGCCCUGGACCUCCAGGCCUUGGGCAGCAACAUCUUCCUGCUCCAGGUGCUCAUCGGGGUUGUGGACAUCCCUGCCAAGAUAGGCACCAAGCUGCUGCUGGGCCACCUGGGCCGCCGCCCCUCACAGGCCGGCUCCCUGGUGCUACCUGGGCUCUGCAUCUUGGCCAACACACUGGUGCCACACAAUAUGGGGUCACUGCGUUCAGCCCUGGCUGUGCUGGGCCUGGGGUCGCUGGGGGCUACCUUCACGUGCCUCACAGUCUACAGCAAUGAGCUUUUCCCCACUGUGCUCAGGAUGACAGCUGUGGGCCUGGGCCAGAUGGCUGCCCGUGCAGGAGCCAUCCUGGGGCCUCUGGUCCGGAUGCUGGGCAUUCACAGCCCCUCACUGCCCGAGCUGUUGUAUGGGACACUGCCAGUGGUGAGUGGCUUGGCUGCACUGCUGCUGCCUGAGACCCAGAACUUGCCGCUGCCUGAUACCCUCCAAGAUGUGCAGAACCAGGCAGUAAAGAAAGCGACAGACAGCACACUAGCACCCUGUGUCCUGAUAGCCACAAGACUCUAGCCUCCUAAGAGCCCACAGAGGGGUGAAGAGGAAGAAGCGAUAGCUUCUGGGGACAGCAGAGGUGCUUGAAGGCCUCCGAUUCCAAGGACCCAAGGCUGCCCUGGGAACCCUCUCAGUCAGGAGCCUCCUCUGGCACAGAAAGGUCAAAGGACACUUGACUAGCAGGAAUCUGCUCUGUGGACUGUCACCUCCCUGAUGCCCCCAACCUCCGUGGCUGCCAUAUCAGGCCUCUCACCAUUCUCUGCCCACUGUCUACAGCCCUGGGGUUCAGAGCUGACUGCCACGUCCCCUGGCUCAGCACAAGCAACAAAGCUCCAGCCUC